GACGAACGCUGGCGGCGUGCUUAACACAUGCAAGUCGAACGGAAAGGCCUGCUUUCCCUUGUGGAUUGCGGGUACUCGAGUGGCGAACGGGUGAGUAACACGUGAGUGAUCUGCCCCCAACUUGGGUAUAAGCCUGGGAAACUGGGUCUAAUUCCCGAUAGGACUGCAGGGUGGUGCCUGUGGUGGAAAACGAUUUUCUAGUGGUUGGGGAUGAGCUCGCGGCCUAUCAGCUUGUUGGUGGGGUAAUGGCCUACCAAGGCGGCGACGGGUAGCCGGCCUGAGAGGGUGGACGGCCACAUUGGGACUGGGAUACGGCCCAGACUCCUACGGGAGGCAGCAGUGGGGAAUAUUGCACAAUGGGCGGAAGCCUGAUGCAGUGACGCCGCGUGGGGGAUGACGGCCUUCGGGUUGUAAACUCCUUUCGACCGCGAGGAAGCCACCUGGUUGGAAGGGUGGUGACGGUAGUGGUAGAAGAAGCACCGGCUAACUACGUG
RNAcentral lists this ribosomal RNA (494 nucleotides) under uncultured bacterium. RNAcentral's name for it is "partial 16S ribosomal RNA". It matches the Rfam family "Bacterial small subunit ribosomal RNA", at positions 28 to 507 of the family's 1533-position model. The record is from RNAcentral.